RNAcentral lists this ribosomal RNA (372 nucleotides) under uncultured organism. RNAcentral describes it as "bacterial SSU rRNA". It matches the Rfam family "Bacterial small subunit ribosomal RNA", at positions 526 to 896 of the family's 1533-position model. The record is from RNAcentral.
CAGAGGGUGCAAGCGUUGUUCGGAAUUAUUGGGCGUAAAGCGCGUGUAGGCGGCAUGGCAAGUCGGGUGUGAAAGCCCUCAGCUUAACUGAGGAAGUGCGCCCGAAACUGCUUUGCUUGAGUGCCGGAGAGGAUGGCGGAAUUCCCCAAGUAGAGGUGAAAUUCGUAGAUAUGGGGAGGAACACCGGUGGCGAAGGCGGCCAUCUGGACGGUAACUGACGCUGAGACGCGAAAGCGUGGGUAGCAAACAGGAUUAGAUACCCUGGUAGUCCACGCCGUAAACGAUGAGAACUAGGUGUUGCGGGUGUUGACCCCCGCGGUGCCGUCGCUAACGCAUUAAGUUCUCCGCCUGGGAAGUACGGCCGCAAGGCUA